RNA transcript from Olea europaea var. sylvestris, 2767 nucleotides. It is a transcript of the gene named serine/threonine-protein kinase BLUS1-like, with no coding region annotated. The transcript is spliced from 23 exons. The record is from RefSeq and is a predicted model, not a curated record. Lineage: Eukaryota; Viridiplantae; Streptophyta; Magnoliopsida; Lamiales; Oleaceae.
UUCGGAGCACUGUUAGAGAGAGAGAGAGAGCUUCACCAUACUUGAACAGAGUCCGUAUCUGUAGACUCAUUGUCCCAUCCAUAUGUACGCAUUAAAAUUAAAUAAGAAUUAAAAAAAAAAAAAUCUCCACAGCUACAAAUAAUUUUCUGAGCAGUUCAUUUGAUUUUUAUCAAUCGAGUGAAUAAUUGAAGAGUUGAUGGUAUUAUCUCAAGUUUUGUGAAGAAAUGGGGGACGGUCAGAAGACUUAUUCUUCUAAUCCAAAAGAUUACGAACUCCUAGAAGAGGUUGGAUAUGGCGCCAGCGCAACUGUUUACAGAGCAAUCCAUUUGCCUUCCAAGGAAGUGGUGGCCGUCAAGUGUUUGGAUCUCGAUCGAUGCGGUAGCAAUCUGGAUGACAUUCGAAGGGAAGCUCAAAUACUGAGCUUAAUUGAUCAUCCUAAUGUGAUCAGAGCAUUUUGCUCAUUUGUUGUCGACUCCAACCUUUGGGUGGUGAUGCCUUUUAUGGCCGAGGGUUCUUGCCUACAUCUCAUGAAGAUAGCAUAUCCUGAUGGAUUUGAAGAAUCAGCAAUUGGGUCUAUCUUGAAGGAAACUCUGAAGGCUUUGGAAUAUCUUCAUCGGCAUGGCCAUAUUCAUCGUGAUGUGAAGGCAGGAAAUAUAUUAAUGGAUAGUACUGGGGAGGUAAAACUUGCUGACUUUGGUGUUUCAGCAAGCAUGUUUGACAAAGGUGAUAGGCAGCGCUCGAGGAAUACCUUUGUAGGAACUCCAUGCUGGAUGGCACCGGAAGUUUUACAGCCAGGAACUGGAUAUAAUUUCAAGGCUGACAUUUGGUCGUUUGGCAUAACUGCACUGGAGUUGGCUCAUGGACAUGCACCAUUUUCAAAAUACCCUCCAAUGAAGGUUCUGCUUAUGACCAUACAGAAUGCCCCUCCUGGGCUUGAUUAUGACCGAGAUAAAAGGUUUUCUAAGUCUUUCAAAGAACUGGUUGCAAUGUGCUUGGUGAAGGAUCAAACUAAGAGGCCAACUGCAGAGAAAUUGUUAAAACACUCUUUUUUCAAGAAUGCCAAGCCUCCAGAGCUUUCUGUGAAGAAACUAUUUGCUGACUUGCCACCACUGUGGAAGCGUGUGAAAGACCUUCAGCUCAAAGAUGCUGCACAACUUGCUCUGGAAAGAAUGCCUUCAGCAGAACGAGAAGCUAUAUCACAGAGCGAGUACCAGCGAGGUGUAAGUGCAUGGAACUUUGAUGUUGAGGAUUUGAAGCUUCAGGCAUCACUUCUGCAAGAGGAGGAUGAUAUGCAAGAGAUCAAGGAGGAAGAUGGCUCGAAUCUGUACAUGAACCAUAAGGUGGUAUCUAGUUCUGGACCUGAAGUAGACAAACCAGGGACAUCAACCAAUAAUACUUACAGAGAGAAGAUAAAUGGUGACGAGGUUCCUCUGGUUGACAGUCUGAGCAUGAAGGAAAAAGUCGUUGAAAAUGAUAUACUAGACUCUGAUAAUCAGGGGAAAACUGGAAUCAACGAAAGUGUAGCUAAGACUAGAAUUCAUAUGGCGAAGCCUCGUCAAACUCAGAGUGGACCACUAAUGCCUGGUGUUGUGCUUAGUAAUUCGAAGUCAGAAAGAACGCGAAACUUAGAAAGAUGUGAGAUUGAAAAUCAUCAAGUGGUUGAGAGAGCUCAACAAGUACGAAAAGCACCCAGCUUUAGUGGACCUCUAAUGCUUCCAAACCGAGCUUCAGCAAACAGUUUAUCAGCCCCAAUCAAAUCUUCAGGAGGAUUCAAAGAUUCUAUUGAUGACAAAUCAAGGACCAAUCUGGUACAAAUAAAAGGGCGGUUCUCAGUAACAUCUGAAAAUGUAGAUCUUGUAAAGGAUAUUCCAUUAUGUACAAGUUCUCGACGAAAUUCUCAGGGAUCACCGCUAAGGAAGUCCGCUAGUGUUGGAGAUUGGAUGUUUGAUUCUAAGCCAAUGCCUAAUAAUCAGCCCGCUAAGGAAAUCAGCAACAGCAAUGUAUCUGCCUCAAUUCUCAUGCCUCAUCUUCAGAAUCUUUUCCAGCAAACAUCAAUUCAACAAGAUCUUAUAAUGAAUUUAUUGAAUAGCUUGCAACUAGUUGAGGUAGCAGAUGCACCUCAAAAUGGGAAACUGCCUCCCUUACCUCGUGGAUCAGAAAAUAAUGGAAGCGUUGAUACAGCAAUUUCUGAAAGGGAACGUAUGCUGCUUAUGAAGAUCACAGAACUUCAAUCGAGACACUUGCAGGAUGAUAAGUUUGACCGAUGAAUUAAAUGCAGAAAGAAUAAAAUAUAUGCAAUUACAACAGCAGCUAAAUGCUGUAUCUGGUCGGGUUGAGGAUGGAGACAGAAGAGAAGGAGAUUCUUGAUUAGAUUUGUUGAAAUGUAAAGCGACAGCACCCUGUAAAUUUGGAAUCAUGGUUUUUUCCAAUUGUUCAAUAAACCCUCAGUAGAAGAUUCCAGCCUUGCCCUGCAACAAAUAAGGAGAAUGAUCAGCCGUAGAAGAUACAAUUUGGUUCAUUUAUUUAAUGAGUAUGAAGAAACCCAGCCAUCCAUUUUGCAGAAUCAUGUGGACACCUCAGUCUGAUUUGCAUUAUUUGGUUGAACCAGUCACCGUGAGAGAGACAUUGAAUUUGUAUUUUGUAGAUUAUAUAUAAUAUAUGCAACAAGAAACUGUUAAACUUUGUUAAUAGAUAAGUUAUGACAGACAAUUAGCUUGGUUAUACUCUCCUUCCAUUUUUCUUAUUAUCCGAACCAUCUUGUUCCUUA